AAGUCGGUUGUGAAAGCCUUCCGCUCAACGAAAGAACGGCAUCCGAUACUGCAUGGCUUGAGUGUGGGAGGGGAGAGUGGAACUUCUGGUGGAGCGGUGAAAUGCGUAGAUAUCAGAAGGAACACCGGCGGCGAAGGCGACUCUCUGGUCCAUAACUGACGCUGAGUGUGCGAAAGCUAGGGGAGCAAACGGGAUUAGAUACCCCGGUAGUCCUAGCCGUAAACGAU
This 227-nucleotide ribosomal RNA is filed under the name uncultured bacterium. RNAcentral's name for it is "partial 16S ribosomal RNA". It matches the Rfam family "Bacterial small subunit ribosomal RNA", at positions 585 to 810 of the family's 1533-position model. The record is from RNAcentral.